UUUCCGUAGGUGAACCUGCGGAAGGAUCAUUAAUGAGUUGUCAUGGGGUUCGAUGCUGGCAGCCAGUUUUUGGAUGCAUGUGCUUGCCCUAACAAUCAUCUUCUUCCAAACACCUGUGCACAUUUUUGAGGGAGUCUUGAGUUGGUUGCCGCUCUUGGGUGAUUUUCUCACAUUCCCUUAAAUCAUUAUACGCUAUUAACAAUGUUGAUCGUGCUCUGUGCCGCAAGGCCAUUAAUAUAAUACAACUUUUAACAACGGAUCUCUUGGCUCUC
RNAcentral lists this unclassified non-coding RNA (272 nucleotides) under plant metagenome. RNAcentral describes it as "partial contains small subunit ribosomal RNA, internal transcribed spacer 1, and 5.8S ribosomal RNA". The record is from RNAcentral.